RNAcentral lists this unclassified non-coding RNA (219 nucleotides) under Hevea brasiliensis (rubber tree). The record is from RNAcentral. Lineage: Eukaryota; Viridiplantae; Streptophyta; Magnoliopsida; Malpighiales; Euphorbiaceae.
ACCAAGUGCUCCUAUAAUAUUGCCACCACCCAGUUCAGCUCCACCCACAAUCAAUUCAGCCCCACCACAAAUUGCUUCUCUACCAGGUCCUCCUCCUCCAAUAGUGUGGAGUGAUCCCGCUCCAGUUCUGCCUCCGAGUGCUCCUAAGAGAGAUCAUCGACAUACUGAACAGCCUGUUGUCGUUCCAGAAGCUCCAGCACCAGUGUCGUCACCUGGAAG